GAUGAACGCUGGUGGCGUGCCUAAUACAUGCAAGUCGAGCGAACAGAUAAGGAGCUUGCUCCUUUGACGUUAGCGGCGGACGGGUGAGUAACACGUGGGUAACCUACCUAUAAGACUGGAAUAACUCCGGGAAACCGGGGCUAAUGCAGGAUAACAUGUUGAACCGCAUGGUUCUACAGUGAAAGGCGGCUUUGCUGUCACUUAUAGAUGGACCCGCGCCGUAUUAGCUAGUUGGUGAGGUAACGGCUCACCAAGGCAACGAUACGUAGCCGACCUGAGAGGGUGAUCGGCCACACUGGAACUGAGACACGGUCCAGACUCCUACGGGAGGCAGCAGUAGGGAAUCUUCCGCAAUGGGCGAAAGCCUGACGGAGCAACGCCGCGUGAGUGAUGAAGGUCUUCGGAUCGUAAAACUCUGUUAUUAGGGAAGAACAAAUGCGUAAGUAACUGUGCGCAUCUUGACGGUACCUAAUCAGAAAGCCACGGCUAACUACGUG
RNAcentral lists this ribosomal RNA (497 nucleotides) under uncultured bacterium. RNAcentral's name for it is "partial 16S ribosomal RNA". It matches the Rfam family "Bacterial small subunit ribosomal RNA", at positions 28 to 507 of the family's 1533-position model. The record is from RNAcentral.